This 612-nucleotide ribosomal RNA is filed under the name uncultured bacterium. RNAcentral describes it as "bacterial SSU rRNA". It matches the Rfam family "Bacterial small subunit ribosomal RNA", at positions 60 to 685 of the family's 1533-position model. The record is from RNAcentral.
AGCGACGCAUACCGGAGGGGUAACCCACUGGUAUGACGGAGCGGCGAACGGGUGAGUAACACGUGAGUAACCUGCCCCACAGACCGGGACAGCCCAGGGAAACCUGGAUUAAUACCGGAUAUCCUCGAAGGAUCGCAUGAUCUUUCGAGGAAAUGCCUUUGUGCUGUGGGAUGGGCUCGCGACUUAUCAGCUAGUUGGUGGGGUAACGGCCUACCAAGGCGUCGACGAGUAGCUGGUCUGAGAGGACGAUCAGCCACACUGGGACUGAGACACGGCCCAGACUCCUACGGGAGGCAGCAGCAGGGAAUCUUGCGCAAUGGGCGAAAGCCUGACGCAGCAACGCCGCGUGGGGGAUGAAGGCCUUCGGGUUGUAAACCCCUUUCAGGAGGGAAGAAAUUGACGGUACCUCCAAAAGAAGCACCGGCCAACUACGUGCCAGCAGCCGCGGUAAUACGUAGGGUGCGAGCGUUAUCCGGAAUCAUUGGGCGUAAAGAGCUCGUAGGGUUCAGUAAGUCGGCUGUGAAAUUUCGAGGCUCAACCUCGAAACUGCAGUCGAAACUGCUGUGACUCGAGUCCGGUAGAGGAGAAUGGAAUUCCCGGUGUAGCGGUGAA